This 416-nucleotide ribosomal RNA is filed under the name Staphylococcus aureus. RNAcentral's name for it is "bacterial SSU rRNA". It matches the Rfam family "Bacterial small subunit ribosomal RNA", at positions 60 to 465 of the family's 1533-position model. Lineage: Bacteria; Bacillati; Bacillota; Bacilli; Caryophanales; Staphylococcaceae. The record is from RNAcentral.
AGUCGAGCGAACAGACAAGGAGCUUGCUCCUUUGACGUUAGCGGCGGACGGGUGAGUAACACGUGGGUAACCUACCUAUAAGACUGGGAUAACUUCGGGAAACCGGAGCUAAUACCGGAUAAUAUUUCGAACCGCAUGGUUCGAUAGUGAAAGAUGGUUUUGCUAUCACUUAUAGAUGGACCCGCGCCGUAUUAGCUAGUUGGUAAGGUAACGGCUUACCAAGGCGACGAUACGUAGCCGACCUGAGAGGGUGAUCGGCCACACUGGAACUGAGACACGGUCCAGACUCCUACGGGAGGCAGCAGUAGGGAAUCUUCCGCAAUGGGCGAAAGCCUGACGGAGCAACGCCGCGUGAGUGAUGAAGGUCUUCGGAUCGUAAAACUCUGUUAUUAGGGAAGAACAUACGUGUAAGUAAC